AGUGCUUGCACUUUGCUGACGACCGGCGCACGGGUGCGUAACGCGUAUAGAAUCUACCUUUUAGUGAGGGAUAGCCCAGAGAAAUUUGGAUUAAUACCUCAUAGUAUCAAUGAAUAGCAUUAUUUAUUGAUUAAAGAUUUAUUGCUAAAAGAUGACUAUGCGUUCUAUUAGCUAGUUGGUAUGGUAACGGCAUACCAAGGCUACGAUAGAUAGGGGUCCUGAGAGGGAGAUCCCCCACACUGGUACUGAGACACGGACCAGACUCCUACGGGAGGCAGCAGUGAGGAAUAUUGGACAAUGGAGGCAACUCUGAUCCAGCCAUGCCGCGUGUAGGAAGACUGCCCUAUGGGGUUGUAAACUACUUUUAUAGAGGAAGAAAC
Molecule: ribosomal RNA, 380 nt
Filed under: Aquimarina sp. AU422_bs_Ted3_MB20
Lineage: Bacteria; Pseudomonadati; Bacteroidota; Flavobacteriia; Flavobacteriales; Flavobacteriaceae
Description: bacterial SSU rRNA
Rfam family: Bacterial small subunit ribosomal RNA
Source: RNAcentral